Molecule: long non-coding RNA, 1932 nt
Filed under: Pongo abelii (Sumatran orangutan)
Lineage: Eukaryota; Metazoa; Chordata; Mammalia; Primates; Hominidae
Description: lncRNA (ENSPPYG00000030261.1)
Source: RNAcentral
ACUCGUGACCUCGGGUGAUCUGCUCGCCUUGGCCCCCCAAAGUGCUGGGAUUACAGGUGUGAGCCAGUGUGCCCAGCCUGGGUUCUCUUUUGUAAGGGCACUUAACUCCAAUCUUGAGGGUUCUGCCCUCAUCAUCUAAUAACUUCCCAAAGACCCCCACCUGCUAAUAUCACCUUGGGGGUUGGGAUUUUAACAUACAAAUUUAGGGGAAACACAUUGAGACCAUAGCAAUGGCCAAUCCUUAGUGAAUCUUAAGUCCUUCCCAGAUCUAAAAUGCCAAGCUACACUUGCAUUUCCUUUUUUUAAGAUUAUGAAACUUCAAAAUAUAUGAACUACAGUCCAUAUUGAAAAAUAAAAUAGAUUGAGCCAUAUGCCAAAAAAAGACCUCAAGAAAGUUUGAGGCAAAGCACAUUAGUGAUACAGGAAAUGGUCCAAUAGAGGGGGAAGAAAAAAGCAUGCUACUAGCCCCUUUUCUUGUACCGAGAAUAAAACCAUGCAGAUCUCAAACCUCCAAGUCUACAGUAUUGAAAAGACCAAGUUCACUUCUCAGAAGUCUCCAAGUUCAGUUGACUGUGGCACUCUGAGACAGCUUCUCACUGUCACUCAGGCUGAAGUACAGUGAUACAAUCCCAGCUUACUGUAGCCUCAAAAUCCCAGGCUGAAAACAUUCUUCCACCUCAGUCUCCUGAGUAGCUGGAACUACAGGCGUGUGCCACCACGCCUAAUUUUAUUUUUGUACAGACGAGGUCUCACUGUUGCCCAGCCUCGUCUCAAACUCCUAGGCUCAAGCAAUCCUCCUGCCUUGGCCCCCCAAAGUACUGGACUUACAGGUGUGAACCACUGCACCCAGCUGACUCUUACUUGAUUUGUGUGUCAGGGAAUCUUAAUGAACAUUUCAUGACUAAAGACUAAAAUGAUGCAGCUUUAAGUAAAUUUAACAGUUAAAGACAAAUCCUUUCCCUACAUUACAUCACAUGCUGAUCUGUCCGCUGAAAGGGCAGAAGAUUCCACAGUAGCAAUAGUAGCAGUGAGCAUACAGGAGUCCCAGAUGUUUAUUUCUAGUAUUUCCCACUAAAAGGAACCUGGGCUCCUUGGACAAACAGCUGAUUCCAGGGCUUGAGGCUGGGACAGAAAGGUUACGGUAUCUUAUACAUGAAAGGAGAUGGUCAAAAUAAUAAAGGCAUGCAAAUUAUGAUUUGGAGAGAAAAAAUACGAGGCCAUUGUGUUUAGGUAGAUAAUAAAUGGCAGAGAUAGAAUACUCUUACAACAAAUGCUAUAAAUGGACAGAGGGAUAGAUUUGGAAAAUCACUAUUUUGUAACCAUCAUAGAUAAAAGACUGGUUUGGGUUUUAGUCUGGAAAGAAUUGCCAAGGGAGCUCCUGAUAAAGGAACAGGAUAUUUGCUCAUUGUUUCCCAGAGAUUGCUAGUAGUAAGUACCACAUAUAGGGCAAAACCAGGACACCUUGACGAGGCGCUCAAAAGUAACAUCAAUGAAGAGCAGAUGGAGAGUAUGCUUGAGAAGGGCGUAAACAUGAAUAAACAAUUCAAAUGCAAAAUCAGUAACAAUUUACAAGAAAAAUUGCCCUGUACUCCAAAAAACACAGAGGUCAUGAAACACAUAAAGGCUAAGGAACUGUUCCACAUUAAAGACAACUGAGAACAACUAAAUUCAAUGAUCCUGUACUCUAAGGGGGAUCUAAAACAAGCUACCAAGGAUACUGGGACAACAAAACGAAUAUGGAUGAUACAGAGUAUCAACAUUCCCUGAGUUUGGUAAUUUUACUUUAGUUAUAUGAAAUAUUCUUGUACUUGGAACAUAUGCCAAAGUACUAAGGAAGGGGUAAGGAAGCACAAAGUGUGUAACAAACUCUCAAAUAGCUCAUAGGUAUAAAUGUACAGAGAAAAUGAAAAAAAUGUGGCAAAAUAAUAAAAA